GGCGAACGCUGGCGGCGUGCCUAACACAUGCAAGUCGAACGGAAAGGCCCGGCUUUUGUGGGUUGCUCGUGUGGCGCACGGGGGAGUAACACGUGUGUAUCCUCCCCUUGUCUGAGGGAUAACUUCAGGAAACUGGGGCUAAUACACGGUAGAACCUCCUGCAGCACGGGGGGGGAUGGAAAGUGUCGGCGGUUGGGGCUAGACUCGCGGCUUAUCAGCUUGUUGGUGGGGUAGUCGCUUACCAAGGCUUUGACGGGUAGCCGGCCUGAGAGGGUGACCGGCCACAUUGGGCCUGCGAGACGGCGCAGUCUGCUACGUGCGGCAGUGGUCGAGAACAUGACGCAGCGGGGGGAAGCCUGAUGCAGCGGCGUCCCGUGCGGGAUGCCGUCCUUCGGGUUGUAAACCGCUUUCGCAUGUGACGAAGCCUGAGUGACGGUAAUUGGUAAAGAAGCACCGGCUAACUACGUG
RNAcentral lists this ribosomal RNA (468 nucleotides) under uncultured bacterium. RNAcentral's name for it is "partial 16S ribosomal RNA". It matches the Rfam family "Bacterial small subunit ribosomal RNA", at positions 28 to 507 of the family's 1533-position model. The record is from RNAcentral.